AAGGGAGUUCACAGCUGUCCCUAAGGCAACUUACCCUAUUCCAGAUUGAGCUUGUGGAAUCCCCAGAUGUAGCCACUUCUCUUCCUACCACAGUCAGUAGGAGGCAGCUGGUGUUGGUAUGGGAAAGCAGGAAGGUCAGAUCCCCAGGACAAGGAGAGCCUCGGCAGGCACAAGGGGAUUAUCUGACCAGUUGCCCACCCAAGAUGGACUGGCCAUGAGCAGGACUUAAGGUUCCAUAUAGGGUGCCAUAUUUGUUAUGCCCAAAGAGGGGGGUCAUCUGCCAGCCGCAAGAUGUGCCAAUAAUCAAGAGGCAAGGUGUUGGCUUCCCUUAUGUCAACCUUGAGUGGUGCAAGUAACAUGGGGACAUCGGAGCAUCCAGUCAGGCAGACGCCCUUCUGAGCGACGGAGCAGGUGGCACAUCCGAGAAAUAGCCCUGGAUGCUGUGUCUCAUUUGGCCCUUGAAGCCUGUAGGAAAAGAAGGUUCCCUCAGUUCUCCUCACUCACCCUCAGGGGCCGCACGACCCCUCACCCCUGACCUCUCCUCCCAGAGACUUCUCUCAAGUUUUCUCCAUGUCCCACCCCUCAUGACUGAAGGCCCAAGUCCCUGGACACUGCCUGGAAGCCAUGCUGUUGUUGCUGGCCCUCCCACUCCUCUCAGGGGCUGCCUGCGGCACCCAUGGUAAGACUCAGCCCGUCCCAGCCCUUCCAGGGCCCAGCCCAGCACGCAGCCCUGGCCUCCACACCUGCCCGCUGCAGCGCUGGACCAGACGUUUGAAGCGGCGGGCUCGGGCCCAGGAGCUGUGCUGCUGCCUCCCCUCCUGCUCCCUCUCUCCUGAUACACACCAUCCUCCAGAGACGCAGGGCCCAGGCGGCUCCUACUCCUACAUCAGGGGAGGAGCGGGGGAGACCCAGGCCAUCGGGUCUUCGUGGGGAUAAUGGGCCUCAUCAAGGGCAGGUCACUGUCCAGAACACCCUCGCCGCGGCCUCUGCCCCAGCCACCUCACAGCGGUCCACCCUGGCCACUAGGACACACAGGAUAGUGUCAGAAGCAGCCAGGGAACCCAGAGUCUGACCACAGCAGGGCCAGACUCUUUGGGGACUGAGGGAGAGG
This 1111-nucleotide long non-coding RNA is filed under the name Equus caballus (horse). RNAcentral's name for it is "lncRNA (ENSECAG00000048231.1)". Lineage: Eukaryota; Metazoa; Chordata; Mammalia; Perissodactyla; Equidae. The record is from RNAcentral.